RNAcentral lists this ribosomal RNA (468 nucleotides) under uncultured bacterium. Its description in RNAcentral is "partial 16S ribosomal RNA". It matches the Rfam family "Bacterial small subunit ribosomal RNA", at positions 28 to 507 of the family's 1533-position model. The record is from RNAcentral.
GACGAACGCUGGCGGCGUGCUUAACACAUGCAAGUCGAACGGAAAGGCCCUACGUUUGUGUGUUGCUCGAGUGGCGAACGGGUGAGUAAAACGUGAGGAACCUCCCCUUGUAAGUGGGAGAACUUCAGGAAACUGGGGCGAAUACCGCAUAGGAGCUCCUGCUGCGUGGGGGGGAUAGGAAAGAGUCGGCGGUGGGGGAUGGACUCGCGGGUUAUCAGCUUGUUGAUGGGGUAGUGGAUUACCAAGCCUUUGACGGGUAGCAGGCCUGAGAGGGUGAGAGGCCACAUUGGGACUGAGAUGAGGCCCAGAUUCGUACGGAAGGCAGCAGGGGGGAAUAUUGCAGAAUGGGCGGCAGCCUGAUGAAGAAACGCCGCGUGCGGGAUGACGGUCUUCGGGUUGUAAACCGCUUUCGCCUGUGACGAAGCGUGAGCGACGGUAAUGGGUAAAGAAGCACCGGCUAACUAAGUG